This 468-nucleotide ribosomal RNA is filed under the name uncultured bacterium. RNAcentral's name for it is "partial 16S ribosomal RNA". It matches the Rfam family "Bacterial small subunit ribosomal RNA", at positions 28 to 507 of the family's 1533-position model. The record is from RNAcentral.
GACGAACGCUGGCGGCGUGCUUAACACAUGCAAGUCGAACGGAAAGGCCCUGCUUUUGUGGGGUGCUCGAGUGGCGAACGGGUGAGUAACACGUGAGUAACCUGCCCUUGACUUUGGGAUAACUUCAGGAAACUGGGGCUAAUACCGGAUUGGAGCUCCUGCUGCAUGGUGGGGGUUGGAAAGUUUCGGCGGUUGGGGAUGGACUCGCGGCUUAUCAGCUUGUUGGUGGGGUAGUGGCUUACCAAGGCUUUGACGGGUAGCCGGCCUGAGAGGGUGACCGGCCACAUUGGGACUGAGAUACGGCCCAGACUCCUACGGGAGGCAGCAGUGGGGAAUAUUGCACAAUGGGCGGAAGCCUGAUGCAGCAACGCCGCGUGCGGGAUGACGGCCUUCGGGUUGUAAACCGCUUUCGCCUGUGGCGAAGCGUGAGUGACGGUAAUGGGUAAAGAAGCACCGGCUAACUACGUG